AGCGCAGGCGGUUUUUUAAGUCUGAUGUGAAAGCCCUUGGCUCAACCAAGGAAGUGCAUCGGAAACUGGAGAACUUGAGUGCAGAAGAGGACAGUGGAACUCCAUGUGUAGCGGUGAAAUGCGUAGAUAUAUGGAAGAACACCAGUGGCGAAGGCGGCUGUCUGGUCUGUAACUGACGCUGAGGCUCGAAAGCAUGGGUAGCGAACA
RNAcentral lists this ribosomal RNA (207 nucleotides) under uncultured bacterium. Its description in RNAcentral is "partial 16S ribosomal RNA". It matches the Rfam family "Bacterial small subunit ribosomal RNA", at positions 568 to 774 of the family's 1533-position model. The record is from RNAcentral.